Molecule: transfer RNA, 74 nt
Filed under: Candidatus Roizmanbacteria bacterium RIFCSPHIGHO2_01_FULL_39_12c
Lineage: Bacteria; Candidatus Roizmaniibacteriota
Also listed under: 1 other name
Description: tRNA-Met
Rfam family: tRNA
About the family: Transfer RNA (tRNA) molecules are approximately 80 nucleotides in length.
Source: RNAcentral
UACGGGGUAGUGUACGGUUGCACAGGAGGCUCAUAAUCUCCUAGACCGUGGUUCAACUCCCGGCCCCGUAACCA